AAUGAACGCUGGCGGCGUGCUUAAUACAUGCAAGUCGAGCGAACAGACGAGGUGCUUGCUCGCUUGACGUUAGCGGCGGGCGGGUGAGUAACACGUAGGUAACCUACCGAUAGGACUGGGACAACGACGGGAAACCGGAGAUCACACCGGACAAGAUUUCGAACCGCGGGGAUCGAUAGUGAAAGAGGGCUCUGCUCUCACGUAUAGAUGGACCGGCGCCGUAUUAGCUAGUUGGUAAGGUAACGGCUUACCAAGGCAACGAUCCGUAGCCGACCUGAGAGGACGACCGGCCACACUGGGACUGAGACACGGCCCAGACUCCUACGGGAGGCAGCAGUGGGGAAUCUUCGGCAAUGGGCGCAAGCCUGACGCAGCAACGCCGCGUGAGUGAAGAAGGCCUUCGGGUUGUAAAACGCUUUUAUUAGGGAAGAACAAACCUGUACUAAACUGUGGACGUCUUGACGGUACCUGAUCAGUAAGCCCCGGCUAACUACGUG
Molecule: ribosomal RNA, 497 nt
Filed under: uncultured bacterium
Lineage: Bacteria
Description: partial 16S ribosomal RNA
Rfam family: Bacterial small subunit ribosomal RNA
Source: RNAcentral